This 335-nucleotide unclassified non-coding RNA is filed under the name soil metagenome. RNAcentral describes it as "partial contains 5.8S ribosomal RNA, internal transcribed spacer 2, and large subunit ribosomal RNA". The stretch from base 1 to 120 matches the Rfam family "5.8S ribosomal RNA", at positions 35 to 154 of the family's 154-position model. The record is from RNAcentral.
GAUGAAGAACGUAGCGAAAUGCGAUAAGUAAUGUGAAUUGCAGAAUUCAGUGAAUCAUCGAAUCUUUGAACGCACAUUGCGCCCGCUAGUAUUCUGGCGGGCAUGCCUGUUCGAGCGUCAUUUCAACCAUCAUGCUCCUUAGCUUGUGUUGGGGACCUGCGGCUGCCGCAGCCCCCGAAAUGCAGUGGCGGGCUCGUUGUCACACCGAGUGCAGUAAUCAUUCUUCUCUCCGGGCGUGGCGGCGGGUUCCGGCCGUAAAAUCACCAAUUUAUCAAGGUUGACCUCGGAUCAGGUAGGAAUACCCGCUGAACUUAAGCAUAUCAAUAAGCGGAGGA